AGUUGCCAUCAUUCAGUUGGGCACUCUAGCGAGACUGCCGGUAUAAACCGGAGGAAGUGGGGAUGACGUCAAAUCAUCAUGCCCCUUAUGACCUGGGCCACACACGUGCUACAAUGGUUGGUACAACGAGUUGCGAGUCGGUGACGGCGAGCUAAUCUCUUAAAGCCAAUCUCAGUUCGGAUUGUAGGCUGCAACUCGCCUACAUGAAGUCGGAAUCGCUAGUAAUCGCGGAUCAGCACGCCGCGGUGAAUACGUUCCCGGGCCUU
This 266-nucleotide ribosomal RNA is filed under the name uncultured Streptococcus sp. Its description in RNAcentral is "partial 16S ribosomal RNA". It matches the Rfam family "Bacterial small subunit ribosomal RNA", at positions 1113 to 1382 of the family's 1533-position model. The record is from RNAcentral. Lineage: Bacteria; Bacillati; Bacillota; Bacilli; Lactobacillales; Streptococcaceae.